GCAGCAGUAGGGAUCUUCCGCAAUGGACGAAAGUCUGACGGAGCAACGCCGCGUGAGUGAUGAAGGUUUUCGGAUCGUAAAGCUCUGUUGUUAGGGAAGAACAAGUGCCGUUCAAAUAGGGCGGCACCUUGACGGUACCUAACCAGAAAGCCACGGCUAACUACGUGCCAGCAGCCGCGGUAAUACGUAGGUGGCAAGCGUUGUCCGGAAUUAUUGGGCGUAAAGGGCUCGCAGGCGGUUUCUUAAGUCUGAUGUGAAAGCCCCCGGCUCAACCGGGGAGGGUCAUUGGAAACUGGGGAACUUGAGUGCAGAAGAGGAGAGUGGAAUUCCACGUGUAGCGGUGAAAUGCGUAGAGAUGUGGAGGAACACCAGUGGCGAAGGCGACUCUCUGGUCUGUAACUGACGCUGAGGAGCGAAAGCGUGGGGAGCGAACAGGAUUAGAUACCCUGGUAGUCCACGCCGUAAACGAUGAGUGCUAAGUGUUAGGGGGUUUCCGCCCCUUAGUGCUGCAGCUAACGCAUUAAGCACUCCGCCUGGGGAGUACGGUCGCAAGACUGAAACUCAAAGGAAUUGACGGG
RNAcentral lists this ribosomal RNA (578 nucleotides) under Bacillus sp. (in: firmicutes). RNAcentral describes it as "bacterial SSU rRNA". It matches the Rfam family "Bacterial small subunit ribosomal RNA", at positions 348 to 917 of the family's 1533-position model. Lineage: Bacteria; Bacillati; Bacillota; Bacilli; Caryophanales; Bacillaceae. The record is from RNAcentral.